RNAcentral lists this ribosomal RNA (481 nucleotides) under uncultured bacterium. RNAcentral's name for it is "partial 16S ribosomal RNA". It matches the Rfam family "Bacterial small subunit ribosomal RNA", at positions 30 to 507 of the family's 1533-position model. The record is from RNAcentral.
AUUGAACGCUGGCGGCAUGCUUUACACAUGCAAGUCGAACGGUAACAGGCCGCAAGGUGCUGACGAGUGGCGAACGGGUGAGUAAUGCAUCGGAACGUGCCCAGUCGUGGGGGAUAACUACUCGAAAGAGUAGCUAAUACCGCAUACGAUCUAUGGAUGAAAGCGGGGGACCGUAAGGCCUCGCGCGAUUGGAGCGGCCGAUGUCAGAUUAGGUAGUUGGGGGGGUAAAGGCUCACCAAGCCAACGAUCUGUAGCUGGUCUGAGAGGACGACCAGCCACACUGGACCUAGACCCCGCCCCAAACCCUUCGGGAAGGCAGCGUUGGGAAAUUUUGGCCAAUGGGCGAAGCCUUGUUCAGCCAAUGCCGCUUGCAGGAAAAGGGCUUUCGGUUUUUAAACUGCUUUUGUCCGAAACAAACCGGUUCUGUUUAAUACCCGGGCUAAUGACGGUACCGUAAGAAUAAGCACCGGCUAACUACGUG